RNAcentral lists this ribosomal RNA (266 nucleotides) under uncultured prokaryote. Its description in RNAcentral is "partial 16S ribosomal RNA". It matches the Rfam family "Bacterial small subunit ribosomal RNA", at positions 524 to 788 of the family's 1533-position model. The record is from RNAcentral.
UACGUAGGUGGCAAGCGUUAUCCGGAAUUAUUGGGCGUAAAGAGCGCGCAGGUGGUUGAUUAAGUCUGAUGUGAAAGCCCACGGCUUAACCGUGGAGGGUCAUUGGAAACUGGUCGACUUGAGUGCAGAAGAGGGAAGUGGAAUUCCAUGUGUAGCGGUGAAAUGCGCAGAGAUCAGGAGGAAUACCGAAGGCGAAGGCAGUCUUCCAAGCCGUUAUUGACGCUCAACUGCGAAGGUGUGGGUAUCAAACAGGAUUAGAUACCCCU